AUAAACGUUUGCGGCGUGCCUGAUGCAUGCAAGUCGAACGCCCUGAUUUUUCGCAAGAUUUAUCAGGGAGUGGCGAAUGGCUGAGUAACGCGUAAGUAACCUACCCUUAAGUGGGGGAUAACUUGUCGAAAGGCAGGCUAAUACCGCAUGUGCUGGUAAGCGAUAGCUUACCAGUAAAGCUUUUGCGCUUGAGGAGGGGCUUGCGUCUGAUUAGCUAGUUGGCAGGGUAAUGGCCUACCAAGGCGAUGAUCAGUAGCUGGUCUGAGAGGACAACCAGCCAGACGGGGACUGAGAUACGGCCCUGACUCCUACGGGAGGCAGCAGCAAGGAAUUUUGCGCAAUGGGCGAAAGCCUGACGCAGCGACGCCGCGUGGGGGAUGACGGCCUUCGGGUUGUAAACCCCUUCUCUCGAGGAAGAAAUAUGACGGUACUCGAGGAAUAAGUCUUGGCUAACUACGU
This 459-nucleotide ribosomal RNA is filed under the name uncultured bacterium. RNAcentral's name for it is "bacterial SSU rRNA". It matches the Rfam family "Bacterial small subunit ribosomal RNA", at positions 29 to 506 of the family's 1533-position model. The record is from RNAcentral.